Molecule: long non-coding RNA, 552 nt
Organism: Culex quinquefasciatus (southern house mosquito)
Lineage: Eukaryota; Metazoa; Arthropoda; Insecta; Diptera; Culicidae
Exons: 2
Source: RefSeq, a predicted model, not a curated record
UUUCAGCCUACCGCACAUCAUUCGCAAUAUGGCGGUGAUUGUUUGUAAACAUUUCACAAAAUUUGCCAGCAGAAAAAACAGUGAGAAGAGCGAAACCGCGAAAAAACCUUCUAAGUAGAACGAUUAUUAUCAUUCGUGUUUCAGUUUCGGGUGAAUGCAACAAGUUUAAUUUUUGGAAAAAUACAAGCUUGUGCGGGACAUCGCUUCCAAGCUGGAAUUUUCCGUUCGCUGCCCCGUCGCCCACGGUUCAAUAAACAAACUUCCUAUCUAUUCGGCGCACCAUGUUCCUCACGGUUGGAGCUGUCCACGAUCGCAUCAAAUGGUCAUAUACCGGCGACUGCAGUAAAUCAAAUCCCUGUGGAAUGACGCAACUGAUCGACGUGCUGCCGAAUCUUCCGCUGUCCGGAUUAUGGAUAACUCGGUCGGCCAGUUUCUUUUGGACACGGCUGCCACCUUUUGAGUCUAACCGACCUGGACCCGGAAGAUCAAAAUAUGUAUAGCGAAAUAAAUGUUGACUCUUUCUUUUUCCGCUUGGACGCGGGCCUUGAUCUA